AGCUCAACGAGUUCCAAGGAUAUCUAAAUCGUCCAAAAUCAUGACUAUGGGAAACAAAUUUUUUUCAACAUCCUGAAAGAUGGUACCUGUUGCGCGAUUGAAAAUGAUCGUUGUUGAAAAAGAACCAAGAACUGAAAAACCAAGUCAAAGCGGAGGCUUCGCUCUUUAAAACGGGAUCAAGUGGACUGUUACGCUUAUAUCUUUUUCCCCUUUUUUCACAAAGUUACGACGAUUUUUCGUCAUUACGAUCUUCACUGGAAAUUUUCUUCGAACUCGAAGUGAAAACGACGGAUCUAAUCGAUCGUCGAUAACCCAUUUGUUUUGAAAUUCUCGGCGGCGAGCCGACGGCAGCUCGAAGUAUCAGCGAGCCGUAGUCUUCAAGAACAAAGAGCAUCAAUCUUCCACUUCUGGAAAGACAUCUCGGGCGAUGAAACUCAUCGAUUCUCUCGCCGUUCAAUUGUCCCGUCGUCGAUCAAUCGUCGUCGACGAUUAAAUAUAACGCGCGCUCUUUUUAAAUUAGCGGCCCUCGGCCACUCGCCGGCGAUAAUUCUUUGUUCCAGCGCUUCGAAACGGACCGUGACUCGAUCGCUAAAUAUUGACCAUAGGUAUCCGGCGCGAGCGGCAAGCGUAAUCUUGUGACGUCAUACUUCUCGCAAUCGCAGACCUCGGGAUAUCUCAGACCUCGGGGUAUUAAUAUUUGUGAAGCACUCGCCCGCGGGAUUAAUUUCUCCGGAUUUUUCUCUUUCACUGCCAGCGAAACUUGCCGUUUCGAGAAUUUUUCACCAUACCUCGAUACCUCGGUGUUAUUAAAUUUUUUAAUAUCUUUGGAUCAAGUAGAAAGUUCGAGUAGACGACGCGAUUGGGUCUAAUAAACGGCGGAUUAUUGGAAU
Long non-coding RNA from Frieseomelitta varia, 890 nucleotides. RefSeq lists it as uncharacterized. The transcript has 2 exons. NCBI's taxonomy places the organism in Eukaryota, Metazoa, Arthropoda, Insecta, Hymenoptera, Apidae. The record is from RefSeq and is a predicted model, not a curated record.